AUUGAACGCUGGCGGCAGGCCUAACACAUGCAAGUCGAGCGGAGCGGCGGACGGGUGAGUAAUGCCUAGGAAUCUGCCUGGUAGUGGGGGAUCACGUCCGGAAACGGGCGCUAAUACCGCAUAAUAUCAGAUGAGCCUAGGUCGGGUGUGUUAGUUGGGGGGGUAAAUGCCUACCAAGGCGACGAUCCGUAACGUGUCUGAGAGGAUGAUCAGUCACAAUGGAACUGAGACACGGGCCAGACUCCUACGUGAGGCAGCAGUGGGGAAUAUUGGACAAAGGUCGAAAGCCUGAUCCAGCCAUGCCUGGUGUGUGAAGAAGGUCUUCGGAUUGUAAAGCACUUUAAGUUGGGAGGCGUUACCAACAGAAUAAGCACCGGCUAACUUCGUUCCAGCAGCCGCGGUAAUUC
RNAcentral lists this ribosomal RNA (407 nucleotides) under uncultured bacterium. RNAcentral's name for it is "partial 16S ribosomal RNA". It matches the Rfam family "Bacterial small subunit ribosomal RNA", at positions 30 to 526 of the family's 1533-position model. The record is from RNAcentral.